CAGGCAUGCUGGAGCCCCGCAGCGGCGCCUGGGUUGGUCGAUGACACGACCCGACACCGUUUCACUUCCGGGGCUUUG
This 78-nucleotide non-coding RNA is filed under the name Rhizobium sp. EC-SD404. RNAcentral describes it as "ybhL". It matches the Rfam family "ybhL leader". From Rfam's summary of the family: This family is a putative regulatory RNA structure that is found upstream of an uncharacterized membrane protein in alpha-proteobacteria. The record is from RNAcentral. Lineage: Bacteria; Pseudomonadati; Pseudomonadota; Alphaproteobacteria; Hyphomicrobiales; Rhizobiaceae.